Molecule: long non-coding RNA, 199 nt
Organism: Sander lucioperca (pikeperch)
Lineage: Eukaryota; Metazoa; Chordata; Actinopteri; Perciformes; Percidae
Exons: 3
Source: RefSeq, a predicted model, not a curated record
CGCUUUUUAUCUUUUGCCGAGUAUUGUUAUACAGGUGAGGAAGAGCAACGUCAGAGAAAUACUUGCGGCUAUGUACUGUAUAUCGAGCGUCCAAAACUUUCAGCAUGUUGUUAAACCCUCUCUUCUCAACAGAGUAAACUGGCAGCAUAUCCGUAGCUAUGUAGAGGGUAAUUGCCUCCGUUAUGGCUUUCCACCUUGC